CCUUCCUCUAAUUUUCUCUUAAUUCUCUUCUUAGGCUCUUGUCUUAAAGGAGACAGACUUGUCUUAAUUUUAAGAUAAUAUCUUAACAAGAGAAGGAAGGGAAUAGGACAGGUAGAGUUGGAAUGCCUUAACCCCAUCUGCCACCACCUAUAUAUUGCAAUAGAAGGGGCACAAGAGAGUCCAGAUACACCCAUUCAUGCAUCCCUUUAAUCAG
This 214-nucleotide long non-coding RNA is filed under the name Elaeis guineensis (African oil palm). Its description in RNAcentral is "long non-coding RNA (EGUI_LNC061974)". Lineage: Eukaryota; Viridiplantae; Streptophyta; Magnoliopsida; Arecales; Arecaceae. The record is from RNAcentral.